Molecule: long non-coding RNA, 8205 nt
Filed under: Homo sapiens (human)
Lineage: Eukaryota; Metazoa; Chordata; Mammalia; Primates; Hominidae
Description: HSALNT0044831
Source: RNAcentral
UUCACAGGCAUCAGCCUCACAACACCUGUGAGGUGGGCAAAGUUGGCCUUGUUUCUUCAUUCUACAGAUUGGGAAGACAAUGCUCAGAGAAAUUGAUGAUCAUGAUCAUCUAUUGACUUGGCUGAGGUCAUGUGCCCACUUCUCGCCUAAGAGAUGAAAGAGCAUUCUAACUAAAACUCCCACUAAGACUCUAAAGGUAAGUAAGUAAAAUCAGGGUACUGUUACUAGAUGGAGAGAUACAUGCUGGGAAGGCAAAGUAAACAGAUAUGUACCAUCUUACUAACCUCCAACCUUGAAUGCUUGGAAUUUGUUUACAUUUUGCCACAGAUGCCAAAAUAGGUGUGUUAAAGUCCUUUGACUAACCCCAUAAGGAAGCCAGUUUGACUUACAAUAUGCCAGAAACAACAUUAAGGAUAUUUUAAAGCCCAAGACACUGAAGGAUUCUUAAGCCUUUAGUUUUUUCAUGGGGUAUUUGGUUUUUAACUAUAGGUAUCAAUGGCCUAGAAAUGUUGCUUCACAGAUUCUACAAAAAGAGUUUUUCCAAUCUGCUGUAUCAAAACAAAGGUUUAACUCUGUGACAUGAAUCCACAUAUCGCAAAUAAUUUUCACAGAUAGCUUAUUUCUAGUUUUUAUCGCGGGAUAUUUGGUUUUUCACUAUAGGCCUCAAUGGGCUCAGAAAUGUCUCUUCAUAGAUUCUACAAAAAGAGUGUUUCUAACCUGCUGAAUCAAAAUAAAGGUUUAACUCUAUGAGAUAAAUCCACAAAAAUCUGUGAGAUAAAUCCCUAAAUCUGAGCCCUUCUCUUUAAAAACUGUGUAAGAAUUUUGGAAAACAGGCUCGGGAGCAUAUAGACCUAUAAAAAUUUCUAGGAGGCUGGCUGUAUAACACCAUGUUGAUGUAGGAAGGAAACAAUACCAGAAUAAAAGAUGAGGGGAUGGGCAGGGCCUGGAUUCUGUGGCUCCACUGGAAAUAGCAAUGGGAAGCUUCCAAAGAAGAUAUAAAGUUUUCAAAAAGUUAAAAUAUGAUUCAUACAAAUUAAGAAUGCAAAUGAAUAAAGGUUUUAUUGAACCUAUUAACUAAUAUGAGAACCAGAAAAACAUUAUAGCUGGUGCAAAGAACAUUUUGAAGAACUGAAUAUAUAUCAGCAUUUUGAGGAAGAAUGCUAGAAUAAGAUUCCUAGAUUAAAUAACAAACUGGUAAAUAUCUUUCAGGAAAAUAAAACCAUAAUCAGCAUAACAUUUAAGUUCCCUUUUAUACCAGACAGAAAUAAUUUGCAUCUCUACUGGAGACAAAUCUAUAAACUAAAAUGUAACUUCCCAAAUUCUGGACCAAAUAGUAAGUAGCUAGUCUCAAACACAGGUGCAUGCCUCUAAGAUAACUGAAUAAUCCUUGAUGAUGGGCGAGAGCUUAUUGUUAAACAUUGUCCUUUAUGACGAGGAGAGUAUGUGAAGAAUUCUCUUGAUUGUAUUUUCAAGCUCUCCUAAUGUUUCUUAAGAAAGGGAUAUCAGCAGAAAGCAAGAACUAAGGGAGAAAGAGCAACAGUUGCUGCCAGGGUAUCACAGGUAGGAGAGGUCUCUGCCUAGUGGCAGGAGACCAGAGGGGAGGCCUUCCUGCACACAAGGUGUUCCUUUGUCAAGUGUUCUUGAGUAAGAAACCAUAAUUAAUACUUGCAAUGGUGACAAGUCACAGUGGGUGCUUCGUGACUAAAAAAGGACAUCAAAAGUCUUGUGUGGGUUACAUGCUAGAAUAAAUGGAUUUAUUAAAAUGUCUUGGUUGGUUAAAUACCCUGUGUGCCUGAUGCCACAAGAAUUUUAUUGCAUAUUAUUUAGGCUGCUGUUCUUUUUCUGAAGGAGAAAGCAUUUUUCUUUCUCAGCUCUUUGGUUUUUGAAAUUCCUAAAAAUCCAAUUUUCUGUCUUUUUAAGUCCUGUAAUUCAAGGACAACGCAGUAGAAAUCCAACAAUAUUAUGCCAUGAUAACUUUAUUAUCCCAGAAUAAAAUCAUUUUUAGGAAGUAAUAUUUCUCAAGACAUUAAAAUGGAAUGGAUUUUUACUUUCUAGAAUUGUUUUAUUGUAUUGCUCUCUGACACAGGAAAUGAGUUCAAUGGCCUCUAGGAUUCCUUUAUUUUAUUGUGGUCCAAGGAUUCUAUAUUGAUUAGAUUUCCCAGAUGGUCAUAUAACACAUUUUCAUGAUAGAUUAAAACUGUACAUUGUGGCAGAUUUUGCCAGUUCUUUUAAAUUUCAUGUCAUUAACACAAUUAAAAUAUAAAAUAUGUGCUGGCUCAUUCCUAAGAACUUUUACAAUACCAUACUUGUGUUGGUCUCCAAAAUUGAAAACCAUUUUGUGAGAAUAAUGAUAAAAAAUGUAUUUUAAAAAUUAUUGUUUCCCACUAGAGAAUAGUUUAUGUUUGAAUAUAAAAAAGAAAAGAUGGAGAACAGAAUUCCUUGCUAUUAAUCGCUACACCACAGGUAAACCAAAGACUCAAAUAUUAUUGAUGGGGUUAGAGGCCUAUGGUAUUCUUCACCAAGAUGUUUCUUCAGCAUCUUUUAGAGCAUCUAAUUUUUUUUUUUUUUUUUUUUUUUUUACUAUGUGUGUAUCUCAGAAGGAAACUUCUGGUCAUUAUUUGCAACUAUCACAAAAUGAUGAAGCCUUUUGUUGUUUUGUUUUGUUUUCCUUGUUGCUAAAAAGUACUGAAUAAUUAAUGUUUAACUUUUCAGGUCACAUUUUUUUAAAAACACAUAUGCUUCUCUUUCUAAAUGACCUAAGUUUUAUUUUAAUGUGUUUUUUAAUACAUGUAUUUUGGAAAGAAGGGAGGGUCCCUUCAAAAUUAAAAGCAGAUGGUAAAGAAGUUAUUUGAGACCAAACUAUAAAACUGCUGGAAGUCUACUAUAGUUAAAUAAAAUAAAAUUUCAUGUCAAAAGCUGGCUUCCAGGAAAAUUAUUUUGUUUGAAAAAAGACUCAAAAUUUCUACUGAGGGCACAUGCAAUGUAACAGUAAUCUGUCUUUUAUUCUUGCUUUUGCAAACAGGCUUAGAUAAGGGAACUGAAGAAAAUGCACUUUGGGAUCUACAGAAAACUUCCUAAUCCAUUUAUCCAAUAAAUGCUAUUUCCAUCUUCUCAGACACUGUUCCAGAUGCUGGUGAUAAUUAGUGAACUAAGUACCCAAGUUCUCAGUCCUGAGGACCUUACAGCCUCGUAACUGAGACAGACAAUAAACAAGUAAGCAAAGAAAUUAAAGAGAUAAUUACAAACCGUGGUAAGUGCUAUGAAGGAAAUAAACAGGGUUCAUGAUAAGGGGUAGUGGGGACAGGGAAACACUUUUUAUUUAUUUCUUCCUUAAUUUCUUCAGUGACUCAAUGGUCAUUCAGGAGCAUGUUAUUUAAUAUUUAUGUAUUUGUACAACUUCCAAAGUUCCUCUUGUUAUUAAUAUAUUCAAAGUGUGAUUAUCUACUCACUAUUGUGGUUCUGCAAACUCUCUUUUCUUACCACAAAAGGUAACUGAGUGGAAACAUGUCAGUUCCGGGUAACCUAUCUACCUUGGGUUGGCUGUCCCAUAUUCAGAUAUUUUCCUUGGCAUAAUAAAUAACUUCAUAUGAGCCAGAUUAAAUAAUAUAAGACCAUAACAAAUAAAUAUAAGCUAGAUUAAAAAAUAUAAGACCAUUAUAAAUAAUAUAAUACCGUUCUGGCAUAAAAUGUCAUAUAUGUUAAAAUUUUUCUACAUAAAUCCCAUACUUGAUAGUUAUUCAGGCAAAAUUAGGGAGCAUCUGAGUGAAAAUAAAUUUUCUUGAAUUAGUUGGUAACAAUUUGCUUGAAUUACGGAGUUAAUAGUAGCAAAAACAAUUGAUUUUCUAAAAUAUGUAGUAAACUGAGCAUUAAAUGAACAGUAUCAUGGGCCUCACCUUAAAUGCUAGAUCAUGAGUUAAACUGAAACUGAGUAUUUUAGAUUAUUAUUUAGUUGACUUCUGAAAUUGCAUAGCUCAAUGGAAAGAGUUGUACUAAUUUUGAGGUCAGAUAGGGCCUCAAUUUCAGCUCAGUCACUUAGCAGCUGAGUUUGAGCAAGUUAGUUAAGCCGUCAGAGCCUCAGUUUGAUCAUCUGUAAAAUGGUGCACCACUAUGCACUCCUCAGAAGUGUUUUGAAGAUUAAAUGCCUGCAUGCACAUAACAGCAUCCAACACAUAAGACAUGCUCAAUAAAUGUGGUAGUUUCUUCUUCUUCUUUUCUUUGACAAUCUUAAGCUGAAAUAAUGACCAUUAAGUGAAAGAAAACUAAAUUAAGUAAAAUGUGUUUCUUCUGGCAAGAAGAUCAGUUUAAGAAUAUUGAUUUAAGAAGAACAUAGCUCUCAGGGCACAUACUGCUGAAUUCUCUAAGAAACAAUAUACAAGUAUUUGACUUUAGCAAUCUUUAAAAUUUAGUUGCACUAAUGUAGCUGGUGCUGAGAUUUAAGUCUUCAACAACCCAUACCUUAAAAUAGCUUUUAAAUUCCUACAUUUGAAUUAUUUUCCACAAUGAUAACAACCAAAAACCCACAGGUAAAUGACAGAACAGUAGAUAAGAAGGAAAAAUUUAUUAACUUUUGUACUUUCAGGAAAAAAAUCUGAGGGAUUCUUAGAAAUAUGUUUGAAUUUGGGAAUAUCAAACCUUUAAAAAAGUUACAUAAAUAUAUACCCAUUACACAGAUUUACCCUCUUAACCAUUUGCCCCUUGGACUCUCUUGCUCACUCACAUUCUCAUUUUCUCUCUAUCCAGAUGGAUAGAGAAAUAAAUUUUUUUCAAACAUUUAAUGGUAGGUUGCAUAUAGCCCUUUACCCCUAACUCCUAAAUACUACAGUUUUUUGUAUUAUAAAAAAGAUAUUCCCUUAGGUACACACAAAAAAUACAAUAAAUUUAACAUUGAUACAAACUCUAUCUAUUGUCUUUAUUAAAAUCUUGGCAAUUUACACAAUAAAGUCCCCAUGAAUGUAAGCUUUUCCUUUUUUUUUGUUUUUGUGUUUUGCUUUGGGUUUUGGUUUUUAGUUCCUGAGUUUUUCCCAUCUAGAACAUGAUCCAGUAGGAUAAUUAUAUUCGGUUUUCAUGUCUCUGGACAUCCACCACAAAAUUGUCAGAUUCAAGGGUCAGGCAGUAUGUCCAGAUCAUCCCCAUUCCAGGAGCCCCAGGGAGCCCAUUUCCCCAGUCAGGCCCUGCCAGCAUGGGCGAAAGAGGAGAAGUUCCUCAGGCUGCCCUCUUCACUGUCCCUGGCUUUGUCUUUAGGGAUAGUCAACAAGAAAGUCUUCCAUCUCCUCUGAGGAGGGAAAUUUCCAUCAACAAAAUGUUUCUGUACAAUUAGGCAAGAAUAGCCACAUGCUACCACAUCCUCUGAAAAACCUGGUCUCUGUUAUGUUUCUCAUAACCAAGGAUAUUUAUUCUUUCCAAAUAUAUUUGUUCUUCUAGUAACUGAGUGCUAUCUUCUGUCUCUACUGUGUUUGGAGUAUUGUUUUGGGAAUCGCAGAAGUUUGAGCUCAGGGGAAGGAAGGAGUCCUCCUCAGCUCUUCCUGAGUGCCUGCUUUGGCUUCUCAGAGGUGACCACAGGUUGGGAGGGAGGUUGACAGUAGGUUUGCACAUCCUCCCUGCUCAGUGGUAGGCAGCCAAGGGAGUAGGCAGCAUGGGGCUGCUGGGUCUUUUCACCCACCUGGGUCAAGUGAACAGUGACUCAUUCUCAAUAGUCAUGUUCUCAGGUUACAGACCUUCCCUUCUUCACUCACCUCAGAGAAGGUAAAAAGAGCUCAGUGUGCAAGGCACUGAUAUGUAUGUGCAUAGUAACCUGAUUAUGAGAUUCUGUGUACUCACGGUGGAAUAAGAGUGGUAAAGCAGUAUCUAUAGUUUCCUUUUCCUCUUUAUGUCAGAAGGAGGACAGAGAAAGGGGAGAAAAAGACCAGGAGUCAAAAGAAGACAAGGACAUGCAAUCUCUAUGUAUUUUCAUGUAGUGCUGGGUCACUUUCCACCACUAGAGUGUGACCUGGAUUCUAAGCUUGAUACACAAAAUUGACUCUUGACCUGGGCAGGCUCUCCCCACCUCUUCUCCAUGCUGCCACCUCCACUCCAAGAAAGCCUAGCUCCAUAGUGCGUCAGGAACAUAAAAAUUUCUUCUGAAUACUGUGGUUUUUCUGCAUUUUAAAGAAGGUUUCCAAUACCUUUGAACCCAGAGCUGCAUACACAUUUGGUGGGAGUUUGGGUGGUGGACAAUAUUGCUGUGUUAGAUUGUGGGCUGGCCCAGGGUACAGUGUAUGAUCAGGGUAUGUUUGCUUAAGGGUCUGUUGUAUCUGUGGUGUUAAUCUGUCUGGGAAGCAAACUCUAAAUACAUCAGAGCAAUAUCCCUCUGAAGUAGGCACCGUUAGAGAAUGAAGCCUCUCCCCAAGGAGUCUACUCAAGGUGCCUGAAUUGACAUCAUUGCUGAAUGAAGGUAUCACCCAGGUAUCAAUAGUGGAAACAUUCAUAGUGCUGCCUCUUUGUGCUUAGUGGAAAAUGAGGCAGAAAGUGAGAAAUUGGUUUGGGUUUUACUAAAUAAAGAGGAAGAAAGAAGAACAAAAGGGGUCAAAAGAAUGAACCAGCUGGUUGGAAGGAAAGGUAAUGUUCCUAUUAUCCCCAAUCCUGUCUGCUCCACCCACAUACAACCUGAUCUGGACGCCACCUCCUGGAGCCUCAUCAGGCACUGUGAGCAUAUUGGCACCAUCCUGGUGGAAACGUGUAAUGGCCUAGUAUUUCAGCCCAAAAAUAAUGUUUAUAGAAAUAUUGUCAGAUAUGGUAUGCCCCUCUCUCCUCUCUGGGGAUGAUGGCCUUGGUAUGUUCCUUCUGGCCAUGAUUGAUGACAAGAUGCAGGAAUUAUCCUCUGUACACAGCUCAACCAUCAAGGUUGAGGCACCACCACGUGAUUUUCAUGCUCUGGCUGGAGCACUGACAGACCUCCUCCAGAGACAACAACAGUUCAUGUACCACAGGUGAGUCCUACACCUUGCUCCCUGGAGCAAUGUUUCCACAGGUUGGCUUGGGCCCCAGUUCAACACUUUGAAGCCAAAGCAGUCAGAGAUACCAAGUGGGUUCUCAACCUUGCCUACUUUUAAUCAUUUUUCUGUCCAUUGGACUCUCUUACUUCAUGUCAUCUGGAUUAAAGCCACAGACUUCAAGGGAUGUCAAAGAAGGCAAAGAAGCUAUCGAGAGAAUGGAGCUACUAGUUCUUUAUUUCUUUUUAAGUUCUUUUUUUUAAAGUUCUUUUUAAAGUUUUUUUUUUUAAGUUCUUUUUUUAAGUUUUUUUUUUAAGUUCUUUUGAUGAUGAACUUAAAGGAAACUUUUUAAGUUCAGAAAGGCUGAGUUACCCAAUAAGUGAAAAAUCUGGUACUGGGGAACUCAGGGGAUGUGACUGCUUGUCUGGUGAUGUUUGGCAUGAACAGAACAAAGACACCUAAUCAAGGGCUGAAUGAUUCCUCCAGGAAUAUAAUCAAAGUCAUCCGUGACCUCCAGGUUUUUGCUUAUCUCUAGAGACAUAAAGAAGAUGAAGCAAUCAGGCAGAGUUUUAAGACAAAGGAGUAAAGAAAGGAUUUCCCCAAUCUUACUCUGCUUCCUGCACUGUGUUUCUCCUUCCCAGGAUCCAUCCCAUAUGAAAAAGCAGGAGGACAGGCUGGGCGCGGUGGCUCAUGCCUGUAAUCCCAGCACUUUGGGAGGCAAAGGCGGGCGGAUCACGAGGUCGGAAGAUCAAGACCAGCCUGGCCAACAUGGUGAAACCCUGUCUCUACUAAAAAUACGAGAAUUAGCUGGGUGUGGUGGCACACGCUUGUAAUCCCAGCUACUCGGGAGGCUGAGCUGAGUCGGGAGAAUCGCUUGAACCCGGGAGGCGGAGAUUGCAGUGAGCCAACAUCCAGCCUCUUCACUGCAGCCUGGCCACACAGAGCGAGAUGCCAUCUUAAAAAAAAAAAAAAAAAAGGAGGACAAAACUCAUUCACUGCAUACCAGUGGGAGAGAUGAGGAGCUCUUUCUCAUGUAAAAUAAAAUGUUGAAGCAAAUUUUGUGCCUAGACCUAGGGCUCACCGUGUUGCUUAAUUCCACGGGUCAUUUUUCACUUCAUAUAGAUGACUCUGAUAUCGAAUACAAUGUGAAUGGGCUCCCUGGAGUCAUAGGAUACUAAGCUCUAUACCCCACACCUAAUAGAGGGCUAAUAAAAAAUGCAUGAAGGGCUAGGUGCAG